This 61-nucleotide microRNA precursor is filed under the name Pristionchus pacificus. RNAcentral describes it as "mir-8364 microRNA precursor family". It matches the Rfam family "mir-8364 microRNA precursor family". The record is from Rfam by way of RNAcentral. Lineage: Eukaryota; Metazoa; Nematoda; Chromadorea; Rhabditida; Neodiplogasteridae.
UCUCAAUUUCACGCACUCUCUCACCGGCCAGAGAGACGAGAGAGUGUGGCAAAUGAAGAGA